This 422-nucleotide ribosomal RNA is filed under the name Trebouxia decolorans. Its description in RNAcentral is "eukaryotic LSU rRNA". It matches the Rfam family "Eukaryotic large subunit ribosomal RNA", at positions 724 to 1163 of the family's 3401-position model. The record is from RNAcentral. Lineage: Eukaryota; Viridiplantae; Chlorophyta; Trebouxiophyceae; Trebouxiales; Trebouxiaceae.
CCUGACUGGUGGGAUGGCUUAUGCCUGCACCAUCGACCGACCAUGAUCUUCUGUGAAAGGUUUGAGUACGAGCAUACCUGUUGGGACCCGAAAGAUGGUGAACUAUGCCUGAGCAGGGCGAAGCCAGAGGAAACUCUGGUGGAGGCUCGUAGAUGUGCUGACGUGCAAAUCGCUUUUCGGACUUGGGUAUAGGGGCGAAAGACUACUAGUAGCUGGUUCCCUCCGAAGUUUCCCCCAGGAUAGCUGGAGCUUGAUCAGUUUUAUCGGGUAAAGCGAAUGAUUAGAGGUACCGGGGAUGAAACAUCCUCGACCUAUUCUCAAACUUUAAAUAGGUAAGACGUCUGGGUUGCUUAAUUGAACCCAGGCAUUCAAUGAGAGCUCCAAGUGGGCCAUUUUUGGUAAGCAGAACUGGCGAUGCGGGA